CAAAAAAUGUCAAAACUCUCUUAACUUCAAAAACCCAAUAGCCACCAAGUGUUCCCAAUUUUCGACGACCGACCGCGGCUGGGCUGCCACGUACCACUUUCAGCCAUCGGCGUUUGGCAUCAUUUCGUCCCCAUAUUUUCACGGCAAGUUGCUUUUGGCAUCCUAAUCCCUAUUCUAGUGUCAAUUUUGCCUAAACAUGCCUCUAUACCCAUAGAUCUAAGAGGAAAGCCCGAAACUUAAACCACGAAAUCUCCUUCUUCCACUACGCGAUCUCUAUGAAAUUUUAGUAUGUUAAUCUCUUUUCCAUGCUUUUUCUCCCUACCAUUCGGAUCUCCUAAAAGCCUUAUCGCCAUCGUUGAACCAUUCUAUGCGGCCGUUGCUUACAACCCAUGAAAUAGCUCCGCUUUUUUUUUUUUUUUUUUUUUUUUGCCUUUGACUGGGUUUCCUCCUCGAGGGAAGGAUUGUGGAUUUUCUUGAAUUUUUUAUGUUUUUUUUGUUGUAUUUUGGUUGCUGAUAGUGGGCACAAUGGCAUUAAGGGUGGUUGACAACGGUUAUUAGCGUUGUGGGUUAGCUGGAAAUGAUGGUUAUUUAUGGCAUUUGGUUAUAUGGUUUUAGGGUUUGGAAGUUUCCGGGGAUUUGAGGUCUUAGUGGCUGAAUGAGUUUCGGGUGGUUUGGGUUAUGUCUUGGUUCGGGGGUAGAUGGUUAGUGAUGGCUGUCUUGGCUACAUUAGAGGUUGCGGUGGGGCUAGGUUUUGGGUAUCGAUGGCUAUUUGGAGCAUAAGAGGUAGACUGGCUUAGGGUGCAGAUGGUGGUGUAGGAUUUCGAUAUUUCUAGUUGAAUGGUGGAGGGUCUCAAAGGUUGGUCAAUGUUGUGUUUUUUUCUUGCAUUGUGAUAGUGAUGCUAAGAAAUGAUGGUGGUGUGAUGAUGGGCUAAGGGAGAUGACAAUGAGGUCUUAGGUUUGGUCGAUGGAAGGUUGUAAUGGUAUAGGUGGGAAUGGCAGUAAAGGGUUGCCGAGCAGGGAUGUUAGGGCUUUUUGGUUGCUUGACAGUGGAAGGAUCAACAGUGGAUGGCCUUCGAAUGGGGGUUUCUGCACAAGCUGGUUCCAGGGUUUUUUCCUUACUUCAUGCCCAAUCCCCUUUUUGAAUUGUUUGCUCCUUCCUCCAAAAUAAGGUCCUCGUAGAGGAGGCUUAAGAACUAACAUUUUGGAUUAUUGCUGGUAUGGGGUGGAGAAGUUUGAUGAAUUUGGCAGAUUGGAAUGUUUAAUCAAUGGUGUUAGGGUUAAACGGGAAGCAACUGGGAGAGAGGUGUCUAAGAGGAGGAGAAAGUUGCUACCACGCUCAGCCAUGGC
Molecule: long non-coding RNA, 1347 nt
Filed under: Durio zibethinus
Lineage: Eukaryota; Viridiplantae; Streptophyta; Magnoliopsida; Malvales; Malvaceae
Description: long non-coding RNA (DZIB_LNC002124)
Source: RNAcentral